Long non-coding RNA from Hirundo rustica (Barn swallow), 1814 nucleotides. RefSeq lists it as uncharacterized. The record is from RefSeq and is a predicted model, not a curated record. Lineage: Eukaryota; Metazoa; Chordata; Aves; Passeriformes; Hirundinidae. The transcript is spliced from 3 exons.
UUUGGUUUAAAAGGGCACUGCUGGACCAUGGUGCAGCUGCAGCUUUUGGUUUAGGAAAACUUCCCAUGUUGCUGGUAAUUUCCCCAAAGUUCCCCUAACCAGGGGAAGGCUGAAAUGGCCGUGACAGGCUGGGCAGGGUUUGCAGGGACUGAAUCCCUGUGCUGGGGCUCGUUCUCCUGCUCUGACCCAUCCCAAACGCCAGGAAUUACUGCUGCAGUGUGGGUUUGCAGUGGAAGGGUUGGACUGGUGGCAGCUCUGCCCUGGAAUCCCGGCCUUUAUUUUUCCACCCUGCUCUUCCCGGGGAACGGCAGCUGCCUGCCCCGGCACAGCUUUUGAACCCGCUGCUGGAUUCCAAGCGGGUGUGACGGAGAGGCAGAGAUGGCACAGAUGGCACAGAUAGCAGAGAUACAGCCCCGGCGGGGCACGGGGGGCAGCGUCGGGGAGCGAAUCCUCCUGCUUCGGAACCCUUUGUGAGGAGCAGGACUAGGAAAACCGUGGAGAACGAGGCAGAAUCAUAUAAUUUUACGUCACCCAGAGCACAGAUGUGCAGGUUCCUGCUUUGCCUCCCGCCGGGGGUCAGCCCCGCGCCCCCGGCCCACCCUUGACAGCUCCUGCAAAUGACCCUCUAAUGACGGGAUGGCCCCAGUGUGAAAGCUGUCGGAAUAUGCCAGCGGCCCCGGGGAGGGUCUGCUGCGGCGGGGGAGCACCAGACGCGCUUUGUUUAUCCGCCGGCCGGGAUGUGGAUUGCGGGGAGCGGCCCUUCCCUUAUCUCCGAGGAAGGAGGAAAAUCCCUUUAGCCUCCCCUUCCACGGCUGCAGGUGCGUCCCUUGCUCUCGAGCAUCCCCUCAUCAGGGUGGGAACAGCUUUGGAGCUUUCGAGCGUCUUUUGCACUGUUGGAGGGACCCCCUUGCUCCGGGUUCAGGAGCAGCCAGAGCAGGGAGGAGCUGGGGACACACCGGGGACACUCACACCCUGGCAGACCAUCAACAGCAAAAAUCAGCAGAAUCGGAUGGGCAUUUUUAAAAUAUAUAAUUUAUUGAUGAAUUGUGCAAUGAAUUGUGCAGCUGUGACCUUUUCGCUACCACCCCAUCCAGCGAGGGGGAAAAGGCUCGAGCAGAGCUGUGGUUACUUGUUUGUAACAGCUGCCCCCCUGGAUCUGCCAGCCGGGGCUCUGGACAACGGGUAAUACAUUCACUUGUCUGAGUUGUAAUAGAAAUCUGAUAGUUUUAAUAGAAAUAUAAUAGAAUCCUUAGGAGAAAUGCCUAAACCACAGGGGAGAUUGAAAAUCCUGGCGGUGUGGAUGCUCAGCAUGGCCGGAACUGCAGGGUCCUGAGGACCCGUGGGUCCUGGUGAUUCCCCUGGCUGGGAAAGGCAACAUCACCUGAGCCGUGUCACGGCAGGGAGCGACGCUGCUGUGCCCCAGUCCUGCACCUCAGCUCCUGCCUGUGUGCCAGGCACAGCAGCCACCAGCUCCUCGGGGCACCCUCCACUCCAGAGCAGCCCCUCGUGCCACGGGAAGGUGGCCGGCGGUCUUUUCCCUUUGGAGCCUGGAUCCAGCCAGGCACUGUGGCCGUGCAGUGCUGCAGAACUGCCGGGCUCCUCCCCAGGUCCAUCCCACAGGAGCGUGGGCCUCGGAGACGCCCUGGUGCGUGCAGUGCUCGUGGGUUGGUCCUCGGGGCGCUUUUGGGCAGACGUGCACCUUCCUGGCAGGGUGCAGGGUGGCCUCAGUUGCAGCCACACUCCUCGAUGAUCAUGUCCUCGUGGUGGCGGACGACGAUCUCGCCCUUCUCGUAGUAGAGCAUGGAGAGGGGGCU